UACGUAGGCAGCAAGCGUUGUUCGGAGUUACUGGGCGUAAAGGGUGUGUAGGCGGUCUUCUAAGUCUGGUGUGAAAUCUCCCGGCUCAACUGGGAGGGUGCGCCGGAAACUGGGAGGCUAGAGUGCGGGAUGGGAGAGUGGAAUUCCUGGUGUAGCGGUGAAAUGCGUAGAUAUCAGGAGGAACACCUGUGGUGUAGACGGCUCUCUGGACCGCAACUGACGCUGAGACACGAAAGCGUGGGUAGCAAACAGG
RNAcentral lists this ribosomal RNA (253 nucleotides) under uncultured bacterium. RNAcentral's name for it is "partial 16S ribosomal RNA". It matches the Rfam family "Bacterial small subunit ribosomal RNA", at positions 524 to 776 of the family's 1533-position model. The record is from RNAcentral.